GUUAAGUUUUUUAGAUAAGGUGGUUCACACAGUUCAACAUAGUAUUAAAACAAGCAAUGGUCCUUGGUUUGAGUCUCCCCAUCUAUCAAAAAAAUAUUUUCACUUGCUUAACCUAUGAAAAAGAACCAUGCUGUGUGUGAGAGGGCAUGCCAGACCUAAAAUGUAUAAAGUGUCCAAUCUCUAACAUACUAAGCUUAUAGAUGCAGCAGUGCCGACAAUUAAACAUUUUGUAUAGAUGUUUCUCAGCAGUUUAAUAAGAAUAUUGUUUUUCUCGAUCAAGUAAUAAUUUUCAUAUAUUUAAUACUAAGUAAUAAUGUGUAAAAACUAAAAAAG
This 333-nucleotide long non-coding RNA is filed under the name Solanum tuberosum (potato). RNAcentral describes it as "long non-coding RNA (STUB_LNC008534)". Lineage: Eukaryota; Viridiplantae; Streptophyta; Magnoliopsida; Solanales; Solanaceae. The record is from RNAcentral.